Molecule: RNA transcript, 1727 nt
Organism: Juglans microcarpa x Juglans regia
Lineage: Eukaryota; Viridiplantae; Streptophyta; Magnoliopsida; Fagales; Juglandaceae
Gene name: UDP-glycosyltransferase 88B1-like
Exons: 2
Source: RefSeq, a predicted model, not a curated record
UAUAUACCUGUUCGUGCGUCUCUCUCUCUCUCAUCCUCCUUCACACAUCAAUGGAGGCCAUAGUGCUGUAUCCACCGCCCAACAUGGGUCACCUAAUCUCCAUGGUGGAGCUUGCUCAGCUAAUCCUCCUCCACCACCACCACCCUUCUAAUUCUCAAUUAUCCGUCCACAUCCUCAUCACCUCUCCACCCAUCAACCUUGGCUCCGCCUCCACCUACAUCGCCUCCGUCUCCGCCACCACCCCUUCCAUCAUCUUCCAUCACCUCCCCGACCCCUCUCCCCCUCUCCAUCCCGCCUCCUUCCCCUCCAUGGAAGCCCUCGUUUUUGAGCACAUCAACCUCACCACCCCUCACGUCCAAACCGCCCUCCUUUCUAUCUCUCUCUUGUCCCCCAUCCGUGCUUUCGUUAUCGACGGCUUCUGUACUCCCGCUCUCGAAGUCGGCACUUCCCUCCAUAUCCCAACUUACUAUUUCUUUUCCUCCGGCGCAAGUUGCCUCGCCUUGUUUCUCUACCUCCCCACUCUUCACAAAAACACCACGAAAAGCUUCAAAGACCUCAACACCCAUCUCCACGUCCCAGGCUUACCACCCAUCCCCUCGUCCCAUAUGCCGGAGCCAACGCUUGACAGAACCAAAGAACAACAUUCUUGGUUCCUUAAUUUUGCUACCCGCCUUCCGAAAUCUGCUGGAAUCAUCGUUAACACGUUUAACUCUCUUGAGCCAAAUGCAUUGAAAGCUAUAUCCGAUGGAAUUUGCGUCCAGGACGGCCACACUCCACCCAUCUUUUGUGUUGGACCAGUGAUCAAGUCCAACGAUCAAAGUGCUGAAGGUCAACCUGAGUGUUUAAAAUGGCUCGACUCGCAACCCAGGGGAAAGGUUGUAUUUUUGAGCUUCGGGAGCUUAGGUACGUUUUCAAAGGAGCAGUUGAAGGAAAUAGCUGUAGGACUAGAGAAAAGUGGCCAAAGGUUCUUGUGGGUGGUGCGCAGUCCACCUAUGAAAGAGCAAAGCCAGCAGAUGUCGUCACAAUCUGAUGAAGACCCAGACUUGGAUUCUUUGCUUCCGGAAAGUUUCUUGGAUCGCACUAGGGAGAAGGGGCUCGUCGUGAAGCAAUGGGCACCACAGGUAGCGGUGCUGAGUCAUGACGCGGUGGGCAGUUUCGUUACUCAUUGUGGGUGGAACUCAGUGCUGGAAGCGGUUUGCGCUGGCAUUCCGAUGGUGGCGUGGCCGCUGUACGCGGAGCAGAGGUUUAACAAGACAUUGUUGGUGGAACAGUUGAAGCUGGCUUUGCCAAUGAAUGAGUCGGCGGGCGGGUUAGUGAGCGCGGCCGAGGUGGAGAGGCGAGUUAGAGAGAUUAUGGACUCGGAGGAUGGAAACUCGGUGAGAGAGCAGGUAUUGGCCAAGAGACAGGAGGCAAUGGCGGCAACGAGUGAACACGGCUCGUCCCGAGUUGCGCUCGCAAAGUUUGUCAAGUUGGCGAAGAGGUGAUGGAUGGAUAUAAACGCGGUUCACUUCCUUUUUUCGAAUGUUUAAGGUAUAAAAUAUGAAAAUCUACUCUGGUAAAAUUUUAUAUACCUCUUUCUCUACUGAAUUCCUCUCACCCUCUCUGUAUACUCGCACUUCACUACAAAAAGUGUCGACCUGAGUGGGAGGAGGAGCACUGGCUCUGCCUUCCUCUCCCCAUCUUAUAGCAUUUUUAUCCGGUGCCUUAUAACUCUUUUUUUCCUAUAA